RNAcentral lists this ribosomal RNA (686 nucleotides) under uncultured Actinomycetes bacterium. RNAcentral describes it as "bacterial SSU rRNA". It matches the Rfam family "Bacterial small subunit ribosomal RNA", at positions 89 to 776 of the family's 1533-position model. Lineage: Bacteria; Bacillati; Actinomycetota; Actinomycetes. The record is from RNAcentral.
GGCAGAGCCGCGAACGGGUGAGUAACACGUGGGUUACCUGCCCCAAUGACCGGGACAACCCGAGGAAACUCGGGCUAAUACCGGAUGUGGUCUUCGGACGAAAGGAAGCUUCGGCCUCCGCAUUGGGAUGGGCCCGCGGCGCAUUAGCUUGUUGGUGGGGUAACGGCCUACCAAGGCGACGAUGCGUAGCUGGUCUGAGAGGACGAUCAGCCACACUGGGACUGAGACACGGCCCAGACUCCUACGGGAGGCAGCAGUGGGGAAUCUUGCGCAAUGCGCGAAAGCGUGACGCAGCAACGCCGCGUGGGGGAAGAAGGCCUUCGGGUUGUAAACCUCUUUCAGUUGGGACGAAGCUUCGCGGGUUAAUAGCCUGCCGGAGUGACGGUACCUUCAGAAGAAGCCCCGGCUAACUACGUGCCAGCAGCCGCGGUAAUACGUAGGGGGCAAGCGUUGUCCGGAAUCAUUGGGCGUAAAGAGCGUGUAGGCGGCCCGAUAAGUCCGCUGUGAAAGUCCAGGGCUCAACCCUGGAAUGCCGGUGGAUACUGUCGGGCUCGAAUCCGGAAGAGGUGAGUGGAAUUCCUGGUGUAGCGGUGAAAUGCGCAGAUAUCAGGAGGAACACCAAUGGCGAAGGCAGCUCACUGGGACGGUAUUGACGCUGAGACGCGAAAGCGUGGGGAGCAAACAGG